GACGAACGCUGGCGGCGUGCCUAAUACAUGCAAGUAGAACGCUGAAGAGAGGAGCUUGCUCUUCUUGGAUGAGUUGCGAACGGGUGAGUAACGCGUAGGUAACCUGCCUUGUAGCGGGGGAUAACUAUUGGAAACGAUAGCUAAUACCGCAUAACAAUGGAUGACACAUGUCAUUUAUUUGAAAGGGGCAAUUGCUCCACUACAAGAUGGACCUGCGUUGUAUUAGCUAGUAGGUGAGGUAAUGGCUCACCUAGGCGACGAUACAUAGCCGACCUGAGAGGGUGAUCGGCCACACUGGGACUGAGACACGGCCCAGACUCCUACGGGAGGCAGCAGUAGGGAAUCUUCGGCAAUGGGGGCAACCCUGACCGAGCAACGCCGCGUGAGUGAAGAAGGUUUUCGGAUCGUAAAGCUCUGUUGUAAGUCAAGAACGGGUGUGAGAGUGGAAAGUUCACACUGUGACGGUAGCUUACCAGAAAGGGACGGCUAACUACGUGCCAGCAGCCGCGGUAAUACGUAGGUCCCGAGCGUUGUCCGGAUUUAUUGGGCGUAAAGCGAGCGCAGGCGGUUUGAUAAGUCUGAAGUUAAAGGCUGUGGCUCAACCAUAGUUCGCUUUGGAAACUGUCAAACUUGAGUGCAGAAGGGGAGAGUGGAAUUCCAUGUGUAGCGGUGAAAUGCGUAGAUAUAUGGAGGAACACCGGUGGCGAAAGCGGCUCUCUGGUCUGUAACUGACGCUGAGGCUCGAAAGCGUGGGGAGCGAACAGGAUUAGAUACCCUGGUAGUCCGCGCCGUAAACGAUGAGUGCUAGGUGUUGGAUCCUUUCCGGGAUUCAGUGCCGCAGCUAACGCAUUAAGCACUCCGCCUGGGGAGUACGACCGCAAGGUUGAAACUCAAAGGAAUUGACGGGGGCCCGCACAAGCGGUGGAGCAUGUGGUUUAAUUCGAAGCAACGCGAAGAACCUUACCAGGUCUUGACAUCCCGAUGCUAUUUCUAGAGAUAGAAAGUUACUUCGGUACAUCGGUGACAGGUGGUGCAUGGUUGUCGUCAGCUCGUGUCGUGAGAUGUUGGGUUAAGUCCCGCAACGAGCGCAACCCCUAUUGUUAGUUGCCAUCAUUCAGUUGGGCACUCUAGCGAGACUGCCGGUAAUAAACCGGAGGAAGGUGGGGAUGACGUCAAAUCAUCAUGCCCCUUAUGACCUGGGCUACACACGUGCUACAAUGGUUGGUACAACGAGUUGCGAGUCGGUGACGGCGAGCUAAUCUCUUAAAGCCAAUCUCAGUUCGGAUUGUAGGCUGCAACUCGCCUACAUGAAGUCGGAAUCGCUAGUAAUCGCGGAUCAGCACGCCGCGGUGAAUACGUUCCCGGGCCU
Molecule: ribosomal RNA, 1369 nt
Filed under: uncultured bacterium
Lineage: Bacteria
Description: bacterial SSU rRNA
Rfam family: Bacterial small subunit ribosomal RNA
Source: RNAcentral